This 301-nucleotide ribosomal RNA is filed under the name uncultured bacterium. RNAcentral's name for it is "partial 16S ribosomal RNA". It matches the Rfam family "Bacterial small subunit ribosomal RNA", at positions 509 to 807 of the family's 1533-position model. The record is from RNAcentral.
CAGCCGCCGCGGUAAUACGUAGGGUGCGAGCGUUAAUCGGAAUUACUGGGCGUAAAGCGUGCGCAGGCGGUUCGUUAAGACAGAUGUGAAAUCCCCGGGCUUAACCUGGGAACUGCAUUUGUGACUGGCGAGCUAGAGUAUGGCAGAGGGGGGUAGAAUUCCACGAGUAGCAGUGAAAUGCGUAGAGAUGUGGAGGAAUACCGAUGGCGAAGGCAGCCCCCUGGGCCAAUACUGACGCUCAUGCACGAAAGCGUGGGGAGCAAACAGGAUUAGAGACCCGCGUAGUCCCUGUCUCUUAUAC